RNAcentral lists this ribosomal RNA (269 nucleotides) under Clostridioides difficile. Its description in RNAcentral is "partial 16S ribosomal RNA". It matches the Rfam family "Bacterial small subunit ribosomal RNA", at positions 873 to 1143 of the family's 1533-position model. Lineage: Bacteria; Bacillati; Bacillota; Clostridia; Peptostreptococcales; Peptostreptococcaceae. The record is from RNAcentral.
CUGGGAAGUACGCUCGCAAGAGUGAAACUCAAAGAAUGACGAGGACCCGCACAAGUAGCGGAGCAUGUGGUUUAAUUCGAAGCAACGCGAAGAACCUUACCUAAGCUUGACAUCCCAAUGACAUCUCCUUAAUCGGGGAGUUCCCUUCGGGGACAUUGGUGACAGGUGGUGCAUGGUUGUCGUCAGCUCGUGUCGUGAGAUGUUGGGUUAAGUCCCGCAACGAGCGCAACCCUUGUCUUUAGUUGCCAUCAUUAAGUUGGGCACUCUAG